This is a transfer RNA of Puccinia graminis f. sp. tritici, 99 nucleotides long. It matches the Rfam family "tRNA". From Rfam's summary of the family: Transfer RNA (tRNA) molecules are approximately 80 nucleotides in length. Their secondary structure includes four short double-helical elements and three loops (D, anti-codon, and T loops). Lineage: Eukaryota; Fungi; Basidiomycota; Pucciniomycetes; Pucciniales; Pucciniaceae. The record is from Rfam.
GUCUCCGUGGCGCAAUUGGUUAGCGCGUUCGACUGUUACAUGGCAGCCUGAUGCUUGUGUGCGAUCGAGAGGUUGACAGUUCAAUCCUGUCCGGGGACG